RNAcentral lists this ribosomal RNA (400 nucleotides) under phytoplankton environmental sample. RNAcentral describes it as "partial small subunit ribosomal RNA". It matches the Rfam family "Eukaryotic small subunit ribosomal RNA", at positions 587 to 984 of the family's 1831-position model. The record is from RNAcentral.
AGCUCCAAUAGCGUAUAUUAAAGUUGUUGCAGUUAAAAAGCUCGUAGUUGGAUUUCUGGUAUAAUGCGCCUGGCCCGCCACGGUUACGUGUGUGAGUGCCGGUGCGCGUUUGCCAUCCUUCUAGUAAACGUUUCUACCCUUUACUGGGCGGAUUCGCGAACUAGAACUUUUACUUUGAAAAAAUUAGAGUGUUUAAAGCAGGCAAUUGCUGUGAAUACAUUAGCAUGGAAUAAUAAUCUAGGACUUCGGUUCUAUUUUGUUGGUUUCUAGCACUGAAGUAAUGAUUGAUAGGGAUAGUUGGGGGUGCUAGUAUUUAGAGGCCAGAGGUGAAAUUCUUGGAUUCUCUAAAGACUAACUUAUGCGAAAGCAUUCACCAAGGAUGUCUUCUUUAAUCAAGAAC